UUUUUUAUUUUUUGGUGCUCAAAGCCUAUAAAUAACACAGGCAUUUGCAUCAUACUGCUAUAUUAGCACAUCCUGUUGUGUGUAAGAGCACACCCAGGUUCAUUUACAUCACUUUGGGAAAGACAGAGGUCUUAGCUAGUACACCAGAUUGCAAAUCAGAUGGUCCUUGGUCUGAGGCUAGAUGACAUCAAUGGAAAAAAUACCUUUCACCUUGGAUUCAUACAAAGUCUGCAAAAGAAAGGGCUGUUUGUGUGGAGGCAGGAAAAAAAACAACGGGCACCUCCUCUCCUGCAUGUGGACCCACAGACAAAAAAGAGAAGGGCACAUGGCUAGACAGAAAUAUCCUCUAUCUGGCUUGAAAUCAAACUAUGGAAUGCACCAUCACUCUGUCAAAUAUUUUGAGUGGAUUUUUGAAAGGGCUGAAUUAGUUCUUUGUUAUCUUUCUCUGCUGCUACUUUCACAUAAACAGAUAAAUAUGUGACUAUUUAAGCAGAAUGUUCUUUUCCAGCUUCAAAAUUAUACAACUGAGAGCAAAGUGUGGCAAUCUAAAAGUAAUCAAACCCAAUAGUUCAUGCUGUAUGGUAACCUUUUUGCCUGAAGAGGUCGGGAAGGAAAUAUUUUCCCACACUAAUGGGGGAUGCUAACAGCUGCCCCAGCAGACAGGUAUCGCAAGGUCAAAGGCUAGCAGAGCCAUGCACCUGCAGGAUUUGACUGCCAGCAAAGUAGAUAGGUAGUUUCUCAAAACUAAUAAUAAAAAUAGCAACAAUGAUGAGAAGAAGAAGGAACUGACAACAAAAAUGAAAAGAAACCUGCAAGAAGUGAAUUCUGGGUAGCACAACACUUGGCAGAGCUGAUUUUAAUAUCUGACAGGUUGAGUUCACUAAUCUUUGCUAUUCAUAUUGACGUGAAACUUCAUGCAGUUUUAGAGAUUUGUAUCUAUUAAGACAUGCAGCAGUGUUCCUACAACAUGGGAACAAGUUUGCUAGCGCCUACUGUUCUUCUUCUUGCCUGAUAAAAAUUGAUAUGAACUGUUUUAAACACCUAGCAGAUAAUUACUCUGAACACUCAAUAAAGAAAGCUACGUCUUCAGAGCCUCCUUUAUCUUUAAAAAAUAAUAAAAAGCCAAGCCCCAAACCCACCGACAAGACAAAACAACAUUCUUCCCUCCGUCUUCCCCCUCUCUUUUGUUUCUUUGAUUACUUGGAGCCUUGUAAUCAAACUAAGCUUAGUUUCAGGACCCUUGGGGCAGUAUCUCUUAGUUCCCUGUCAGGCUGCGUUGCAAAACAAUCAAUCUUGCUCUGGCGCUCACUUGGCGGAAGUGCCGCGACACCAGGAGCGCGGCGCUCUGCUCGCACUGUGAAGCUCCGAUGACAAAAGUUUUUAUCAGAAGCUGACUGUAUUUAGGGUUAUGAAUAUGCAAUGACUCUCAUUAGUAUUGAAGCACAGGAGCACGGGCUGACAUCCCCCGCCACUUUUAGCUGCUGCAGAGUCGUCUAAUGAAUUGUCUUGCUCUUUCACUCACGCAGGCUCUGCUGUUAUGGCUCCCCGUUCCAAGGGGAGUUGCCCAGUUUGAGAAUACUAUUGACUGCAGAAAUUAAUUGCCAGGAACUGCUCUUGAUUUUGUUAAACGGUGUUGAGACAGUGUUUAAAUUGUCAAAACAGAAAACCAUUAAACUCUACAAGAGGCAAAGUCACCUUGAGCGAGAGGACCUGCGCACCAGGCGCAGAUGUGCACAGCUGUGGUGUGGGUCUUGCACGCAGUUUUGUGGUCAUACCUGUGCAAACAAACACACCCGUGUUCUGGCAGAAGGUCUCUGGAACCCGGCUUCACAUUGAUUUAUCUGUUGUUCUUCCAGAUAGAACAAACGGGGAUAAGGGGGCAUUCUCCAAAUGAACAGGACUCCAAUACAUUGCUAUUUGAUCAACCCUUUAAUACUCUUUCUUUCUCCUCUGGGAUCCUGUCAAACAUUUUUCAGCUCACACAUCUGCAAUCUUUAUGAAUAAGGCACUGAUAAGGAUGUUUCCAACAAAUGAUUAAGAUAUCUGGCUUGAUUUGUAGUAUUUGAGGAGAUGUGCAUGCUUUCAGAAACAAGUGGAAAGAACCCUUUUUUCCCAAUUGGUUAAAUUAAGAUUUUUUUUUCCUUUUUUUUACUAUUCAUCUGAAUUUUUUUACGGGCACAAAAGAAGCUUUUGUAGCUCUCUGCAGAUUGUGAGGGAUGGAGCGAAUUGAAACAGAUAAUAUAUUCCAAGAAGCGUAAGUAGCAUUCUGAAAGGUGUGCACAUACUGCAAAUAAUAAAGAAUAUGAGGUUCUCCCAAGAAGAUGUCAGUCCUGCACAGCUCUUUAUCCAUUUAAUCAGUAAUGGAAAUGGUCCCAGUGCAAAGAGGAGGAUUUGUUUAAUUUUUACUGUGAUUUUUGGCACUGCUGCUCUAAGGCGAGCUUGGGUUACCUCUUGACCCAACCCCAGGAGGGCCUGUUCUCAUCAGCUGGAGAAAAAAUAAACAUAAAGAACAUCUACAUGUUGGGAGUAUCAAAUACAAGAGCAGUUUAAAAUAAAUGCAGUUCUGACAAAAGUGGCUCAAGUAUCAUACAUCAAACACUUGUUACCUCUCUUGGCCUUAGUGAUUGCACGUGACUAAGAAAGAGUGAGUGAUAAAAUCUGAAGAAAGAUGAAACCAAUCUGGGCCUUUUUAAAGAUCAUCAAUCAUUCUGCGCAGCCAUGAUAUUAUUAGUUCCAGUAAGCCUUGUUCUCCCACUUUAUGGACAUCAUAAACCCCCCACCCCUCGACCAACGCUACCAUGGGAAAUCAUUUUUAUGGGCAGCAUCUUAGCGUGGGCCAAUCAGAUCUAAUCACAUAACAAGCUACUGAAUUAUUCAACGUUCUCCCUAAUUCUGCAUUCUUCCUGCACUUUGCUGUCACUGCAGGGUUUUAAAAGUAUGUGUUUUUACAAUAUUUAUUAAGAAGAUAACCAUACAUGGGAAUUUUGCUUUCUCUGUGUCUUUCAAUAAUCGUUUGUUCCCUUAGAUUGUUAUGCUAUAUGCACUACUAUAUAGAGAAUAUAUAUAUAUAUAUAUAUAUAUAUAUAUUUUUUUUUUUUCUCUGAAAAGAAUAGCAAUUCACAAUGUGACAAUCGGCUCUAAACUCUUCGGCUUUUAAAAUACUGAGUGUAGGGACAACAAUAGUGAAACAAUUGUGUUCAAACAUAAAAUAUUCAGAUUUACUGAGCAAACUGUAACCAGCAUGUCUCUUAGCUGUUGCUAUGAAUACAGGGCUCACAUUGUAUAUGAAAAUAUUUCAGUUUUAAUUGCAAAUCUGUGCAGAGAUGAUUUGGGGUCUGUAAUUAGCACAUAAAUUCCAGACUUUGUGACUGCUGUGAAAACACACAUUAUUUAUGGAACGAUUAUCUAAAUAUAAUUCAGUGUUUUUUGCUUUCAACAACUACUGUAAAAGUCUGAUUUAAUAAAAUGUGAAAAAUUUCCCGU
Oxyura jamaicensis (ruddy duck) is the source of this 3483-nucleotide long non-coding RNA. RefSeq lists it as uncharacterized. Lineage: Eukaryota; Metazoa; Chordata; Aves; Anseriformes; Anatidae. The record is from RefSeq and is a predicted model, not a curated record. The transcript is spliced from 2 exons.